AUGUUUAACUACGACGAGCAUGUUGUUGUAUCUAGUAUUCCAUGGCAUGAGAAAUCGCAGAGGGCCAUGCAUACCAGGAGCAUGUCAGUGAAUUGGUCAUUUUUGAGUCGAAGGGAAAUUAAGUUUCGAUCGGAAGCGGACUAUCUUGAGGAACCAUGUUCAGUUUGGUCUGACUGCCACCAUACUGCAAUUAUUUACUUGAGGGAAGAGGGAAUUAUGGAGAGAAAAAUACCCACCGUGCAAGCAACUUCUAGGGGGUGGGAAUGCAGGCAACAAGAAUGCUCUGUGUCCCUAGACCACCUACCAAACCCCCUGAAGAUUAUGACCCUUGCAUGGAGAAGAAUUCACAAAACAAUUUUAUGCUUCCUUGUAAUCUUCUGCCGGACAAUGGAUGCCUCAAGUGUCACAGAGUUCAUAGAGAAACCGGGUCAAAACUGCUGA
Molecule: ribosomal RNA, 441 nt
Filed under: Triticum aestivum (bread wheat)
Lineage: Eukaryota; Viridiplantae; Streptophyta; Magnoliopsida; Poales; Poaceae
Description: partial small subunit ribosomal RNA
Source: RNAcentral